UACGAAGGGGGCUAGCGUUGUUCGGAAUUACUGGGCGUAAAGCGCACGCAGGUGGCUGAGUCAGUCGAUUGUGAAAGCCCUGGGCUUAACCUGGGAAUUGCAGUCGAUACUACUCGGCUUGAGUAUGGGAGAGGGCAGUGGAAUUCUCGGUGUAGCGGUGAAAUGCGUAGAUAUCGAGAGGAACAUCAGUGGCGAAGGCGGCUGCCUGGCCCAAUACUGACACUCAGGUGCGACAGCGUGGGGAGCAAACAGG
This 253-nucleotide ribosomal RNA is filed under the name uncultured bacterium. RNAcentral describes it as "partial 16S ribosomal RNA". It matches the Rfam family "Bacterial small subunit ribosomal RNA", at positions 524 to 776 of the family's 1533-position model. The record is from RNAcentral.